Pelodiscus sinensis (Chinese soft-shelled turtle) is the source of this 3182-nucleotide non-coding RNA. The record is from RefSeq and is a predicted model, not a curated record. Lineage: Eukaryota; Metazoa; Chordata; Testudines; Trionychidae.
UUACAAAGGAAGAUAGUAUUAGGUUUCAUUAUGUACCCUCUGUUGCUAUUGCAAUCUCAGAUUAGGCAUGCAGCACUGUUCCAGCUUUUGUCCCUAUGGGGUCUCUGUGUGAGAGGAUUUUUAGGCCAAUCAAUGUUAUUUUAAUGCUCCUGAAGAGAAUACGUGUAUUGUGAUGCUUGAAAUGAGAAUAUUUCAAAACAACCUGAUUCUAUUCAUUUAUCCUCUCAAACACAAGUGCUAAGACAGCAAAGGAGGUCCAUCUUAAACCCUCCAAACUUCAGUUGAUCUGAAACAUGGAUCAGCUCUAGCCUUAGGAACUGUGGCUCAGUUGGGCUUUGAUCCUGCAUGUACCUUCAAUGCUACUUGCAGCUGGGGAAGUGGAAAAUAUUCAACAUCUUGCAGGAGAAAGCCUACAGAAUGCCAGGUCACCCGCUAUUCUUAAUACUUCCACAAGGACAAAUGGGGCUCAUGUUAAAGGAUCCACUUGUACAAGUGUCAGCAGCAGCAGGGCAUGUCGAGGCAGAGACUGCAGUGAAGACAUACCAUGCCAGUAGAAGGGAGGACUGACCAAGCUAAUCAGCUACUUUGGUCCCAGACAGGAUGCCACAAUGUAACUUUAGCGUGUGUGUGGCUUCCUAAAAUGAGGUGGAAGCUGAAAAAUUCCACAAAUCAAACCUGAAACAGUAUAAAAUCCCUGAGUUACUGCCUAGAGAAGUGUGACUUGCUUGGCGUAAGCCUUAGCUAGGGAAAGGAUGAGUCAGGAAAGACCAGUAUAUGGAGGCUGGAGGACAGCGUCAUUAAACAAACACAAUGAGUUUUAAUUGUUUAAAGGGGCUUCAUAUUUCAUAUUGGUGCAGAUUUAGUGACCAAGCUAUAAUUCUCUGAAACAAGGCUAUGGAGCUAAAUCCAGUAGGGACUAUCAGUUCUCUCAACAUACGUAGUAACACGUAUGUUCUGAGUUUGACCACAGUGGGUUCAGGCCCUUGCUGGUCAGGUCUCUCUCUACACGUAAUCUAGAGACAAACAAGCGGGUUGGCUGGUCAACACUUGAUUUGGGACAAGUGAAAGUUUCUAUUUAAAGGCCUGUGGCUACAUUCAAAAUCAAGAUGAGCCAACCAAGUUCCUGCACACGGCAAACUACCCCAAACAGCUCAGUUCCUGCCCAGGCUGCAUCUGGCUCUGACUAGUAUUUGAACAUCUCUUUACUGCCCCUGUAAGCUGUUACAAGGAGCACACAUUGGAGUUGUGGCAAGUUGCAGAGUAAAUGAAGCAGCUAAUGUUGUAGGUUACAUAGCAGCCAACACCAUUACCAACCCUAUUCCAAACUGAAAGCAUGUUACAGAUGACAGAGCUUUGGGAGGGUCCUUGCUAUUUCUCUUGCCCUGUAAUGGAAUUGCACCCACAGAUAAUGGGCUGGUUACAGUCUGUGCUGUGCUCCUCACUCAGCUUGCUGCAAGCUGCAGUUCAGAGCGUGGCAUGCAGCUUCUGAAUCCACCCCUCUGUUCUGCUGCAAUGGCUGCUGGAACAAAGGACCUGCACUUGUUCAGCGAUAGCCUCAGCUCCUGAACAGCUUAUCCACUUAGAAGGUCAGAGGGAGGGAGUGCAGCAGCCAGGGAGCUCCAACUCCUGCAGCACAGCUCUGACCCCGGCAGCAGUGGGGCCAGCAGGAGCUGGAGAGCUCCCGCCUAGGGAGCGGCAGCUGGCCAGGCAGCAGCGGGGCAAGGGCAGCAGUUUAGCACAGGCCAUUAAGGGAGGAACCUCCCCCAGUCCGGUAAAUCCCCUUGUCCGGGACCAGUCAGGUCCCAAAGGUGCCGGAUCAGAGAGGUCCAACCCAUAGUAAACUGAGGAAGACAGAGGUUAAGAUCACACAAAAUCAAUGGAGAACUGGGAACAAAAUCCAAGACUCCUGAUUCCCAGUCUGGUGCUCUCAACUGUACCAUGGGCCUGCCUCCUCCUCAAUGGGUGGAGCUAUUUUCUCGCUCUUGGAUAGCAACAGAGCUAGCCUCCUCCGUUGAUUAGGUAGGUCAGACACUUCCCAGAUCUUCAGCCAUCUUAAAGAAUGUGGCAGUAACACAGGCAAAAAUUAAAUCAAACCUUGCGGUCUUAACACAGAAUAUACACUAGACUAUGUUUAAAGUCACAAAAAGCAAACAAACAGUUUAUAUUUUAAACAUUCAAAAGCAAGAUUUUUCUGCUAUGAUUUUGACAAAGGCCAGAACUACUUUACUGGCAAGACUCAGUUUGAGGAAUUUCUUAUAAACCAAAUCAUAUUUAACACACACAGUCCCUAACUCAUGACCAAGUACAGACCCAUCUGCAUUGUCUGAGACUAACUCUUUCUUACUGUUUCACAAGCAACCAGGAUAACAGAAGGGGAUUUUAAAUAAUUUGCUCAUUAGCCACUGAAAAGUAUGAAAAAGUAUACAGGAUAUAAACCAAAGUCGAAACAUCUUAGUUAUUUCUACAGGACCUUGCCCAGUGUGUGUGGAUUGAUUGUUCUUAAUAACCAUCACUCUUAUUUACAGGAGUAAUGGAAGAAAUAAAACCUACACUGCAGCUCAGUGCCAAAGUUCAUUUUCUCUCACCUAUCUUCCAUUUUUACAAGUCCCUCUCCCCUUUUAAGUUAACUCUUUUCCCUCACAUUCCCCUCCUCCCCCAAAGUUUGUAUCUGCGCAGCUUCCCCUGGAGGAGAGUAAUGAGGACAGGAAUCUACGCAGAGUGAAAACUGUUGAAGUGCUCUUAAGGUCUAGCAGGGCUACGUACAAACAGCUAGGCUUGUGUAAAGUGCACCCCAGUGCUGUUUCUGCUGCUGUCUAUAUAUCCUCUCUGCAUACCACCAGCACUGUCAUCUUCUAUGGAAGGAAUCUGAAGUGACAAGGAACAGGAAGCCUGCAAUUUUGUGACAUUCAGUGCACACAUACGUCCUUAAACAUUCAGAGGCUUUCAGGCAACUACCUGGUGGUGGAAGUCCCAGCAUUAAAACUGAUUACAAACUGCAAGCCAGAAAUUAUACCUACAUCUGGAAAGUCUUACACAUUACCUCCUUCUCCACUUCAUUCCAUUGAAACUUAACCGAUAGAGGAACAGAAACAUUUAGUAUUAGAAGCAAAGUCAAUUCCCUGAUGGCACAAAUCAGCUUUCCAUAUAGAACUGUGUUCCUAUGAUCUUGGUUGACACUCGUU